UUGCACUUAGGCGGGGAGUUAGCGGUGCCCUGAACUUGCAAUCCGCUAUAGCAAGGCCGAAUGUUCCCCGAGGCGAGCCGCAUGGUCGGUUGCGCUCGGUAAGGCGUGUUGAUAUCAAGGUCUUAUGCAACGAGUGUCCGCGAACCGUGUCAGGAUAGGAAUAUAGCAGCACUAAACGGUCCCACUCGUGUGCCAUGAGGUUGCUUUGAAGGAGCGACCUGCCGGGUUUCCACUUCGGUGCGACUCGUCGACGGGAACUGCACAG
This 265-nucleotide signal recognition particle RNA is filed under the name Clostridia bacterium. Its description in RNAcentral is "signal recognition particle sRNA large type". It matches the Rfam family "Bacterial large signal recognition particle RNA". From Rfam's summary of the family: The signal recognition particle (SRP) is a universally conserved ribonucleoprotein involved in the co-translational targeting of proteins to membranes. Archaeal SRP consists of a 7S RNA and homologues of the eukaryotic SRP19 and SRP54 proteins. The record is from RNAcentral. Lineage: Bacteria; Bacillati; Bacillota; Clostridia.